UAGAUCAAAGCCAGUUGGUUAGGGUAUUUAGCUGUUAACUAAAUUUUUAUGGGUUUGAGUCCCAUUGGUCUAG
This 73-nucleotide transfer RNA is filed under the name Miopithecus ogouensis (Gabon talapoin). RNAcentral describes it as "tRNA-Asn". It matches the Rfam family "tRNA". From Rfam's summary of the family: Transfer RNA (tRNA) molecules are approximately 80 nucleotides in length. Their secondary structure includes four short double-helical elements and three loops (D, anti-codon, and T loops). Further hydrogen bonds mediate the characteristic L-shaped molecular structure. tRNAs have two regions of fundamental functional importance: the anti-codon, which is responsible for specific mRNA codon recognition, and the 3' end, to which the tRNAs corresponding amino acid is attached (by aminoacyl-tRNA synthetases). tRNAs cope with the degeneracy of the genetic code in two manners: having more than one tRNA (with a specific anti-codon) for a particular amino acid; and 'wobble' base-pairing, i.e. permitting non-standard base-pairing at the 3rd anti-codon position. Lineage: Eukaryota; Metazoa; Chordata; Mammalia; Primates; Cercopithecidae. The record is from RNAcentral.